This 491-nucleotide ribosomal RNA is filed under the name uncultured bacterium. Its description in RNAcentral is "partial 16S ribosomal RNA". It matches the Rfam family "Bacterial small subunit ribosomal RNA", at positions 29 to 507 of the family's 1533-position model. The record is from RNAcentral.
GUGAACGCUGGCGGUAGACCUAACACAUGCAAGUCGAACGGCAGCACCGUAAGAGCUUGCUCUUACGGGUGGCGAGUGGCGGACGGGUGAGGAAUACAUCGGAAUCUACUUUUUCGUGGGGGAUAACGUAGGGAAACUUACGCUAAUACCGCAUACGACCUACGGGUGAAAGCAGGGGAUCUUCGGACCUUGCGCGAUUGAAUGAGCCGAUGUCGGAUUAGCUAGUUGGCGGGGUAAAGGCCCACCAAGGCGACGAUCCGUAGCUGGUCUGAGAGGAUGAUCAGCCACACUGGAACUGAGACACGGUCCAGACUCCUACGGGAGGCAGCAGUGGGGAAUAUUGGACAAUGGGCGCAAGCCUGAUCCAGCCAUACCGCGUGGGUGAAGAAGGCCUUCGGGUUGUAAAGCCCUUUUGUUGGGAAAGAAAAGCAGCAGGUUAAUACCCCGCUGUUCUGACGGUACCCAAAGAAUAAGCACCGGCUAACUUCGUG